GACGAGCGCUGGCGGCGUGCUUAACACAUGCAAGUCGAACGGAAAGGCCCUGCUUUUGUGGGGUGCUCGAGUGGCGAACGGGUGAGUAACACGUGAGUAACCUGCCCUUGACUUUGGGAUAACUUCAGGAAACUGGGGCUAAUACCGGAUAGGAGCUCCUGCUGCAUGGUGGGGGUUGGAAAGUUUCGGCGGUUGGGGAUGGACUCGCGGCUUAUCAGCUUGUUGGUGGGGUAGUGGCUUACCAAGGCUUUGACGGGUAGCCGGCCUGCGAGGGUGACCGGCCACAUUGGGACUGAGAUACGGCCCAGACUCCUACGGGAGGCAGCAGUGGGGAAUAUUGCACAAUGGGCGGAAGCCUGAUGCAGCAACGCCGCGUGCGGGAUGACGGCCUUCGGGUUGUAAACCGCUUUCGCCUGUGACGAAGCGUGAGUGACGGUAAUGGGUAAAGAAGCACCGGCUAACUACGUG
This 468-nucleotide ribosomal RNA is filed under the name uncultured bacterium. Its description in RNAcentral is "partial 16S ribosomal RNA". It matches the Rfam family "Bacterial small subunit ribosomal RNA", at positions 28 to 507 of the family's 1533-position model. The record is from RNAcentral.